Molecule: RNA transcript, 2799 nt
Organism: Oncorhynchus masou masou (cherry salmon)
Lineage: Eukaryota; Metazoa; Chordata; Actinopteri; Salmoniformes; Salmonidae
Gene name: E3 ubiquitin-protein ligase RNF12-B-like
Exons: 5
Source: RefSeq, a predicted model, not a curated record
GGAACUCGACCGAUAUUACGCUCAGUUUUAUAGCCUGCGUUUACACCAGCAGGUUUAUACGUUCGUGUUUAGUGGAAGCGCGGUGAGAUGAUUUACAGUGCCCGCGGGACUACACUCUGACCUACACACAAGCUGGCAUCUGCAACAAGAAGGACACUUUUGCAUGUACACAUAAAAAUACUAUUUAUUACAUCUGCAGAAAACAACAAUUGUCAAGUGACCAUUAAAUAGUUCUACCAUCAUGGAACUUGACGCGUCUAUCAUUCUCCCUGCGCUCUUCUUUACCAUUCUUGCUGUUGUCUUGGCUGCCAAAUUCAUCCCCAAAAAACAACCAGAGGAGAAGAAGAAGACGAUUAAAGUAGGCAACAGAGACGACAUUCCUCCUGCCAGAGCAUUGACACCAGCAGUAGCAGUAGUGGAUGUACCAAAAGUGGAGAUACCACCACCGGUGAUAGUACCAAAAGUGGAGGUACCCCCACAAGUCGUAGAAGCUGAAGUAAUAACCGAACCAGUAACAGUUGCCCCAGUAGUUGAAGAGAUCAAUGUUGUAGAAGAAGAUACAGUUAAAGAGCCUGAAAUGAUCCCCGAUGUUCAGGCUGUGCCAGAGCCUGUGCCAGAGACCGUGGUUGAGCCAGAUCCCGUGCCUGAGCCCAUCCCUGAGCCAGACCUCAUCCCAGUCGUUGUUGAGAAGCCCAUCCUUGAGCUCAUCGCCGAACUUGAACCUGUAUCUGUGGUGAAGGAGGUCCCCGCCAGAGAGCCCACCCCUGAGCCAGCAAGGGAACCCACCCCUGAGCCAGCAAGGGAACCCAACCCCAAGACAGCGAGGGAACCCACCCCUGAGCCCAUCUUCAUGCCAGAGCCAGAGGACCUUGAGAGCAACGCUGAGGAGGUGCACUUUACCCCAGGAAUGAAGAUUAGCAAGUUAGAGAAGCUGAUGACCAAGGAGGAGAUGGAGUAGGAGCAGAGGAUAGAGCUCACACCUGACUUUACCUCUCUAGAAGCAACAUCGACAAGCACACUGGUGCAAAACGAUCAGUUGGCGGCCAUCUUUCUCCUGCUGAUGCAGAACCAGGAGGCACUAGGGGAGGUGACUGAGGGAGACAUGGAGGAGCAGCUCAAACUCUACUCCCUGUAACAGAAUGGGGCAGUUCUGUUAUUGUCAACCUUGUAUAGGGCUAAAUAGCCUGUUCCCCUUUUUAAAGUGCAGGUGUCAAGCAGAGCAACUGUCGAUGUUUAAUACUGUAUUUAUGUUUGACUUAUCAUGUCAGGUCAGAAUGAUCCAUAACAGACAAAGACAAUAGGUUUAAUACUCUGACAUACUGUAGAGGGAUAGGUUAAAUGGCAUUACCCAUAAGACCAAAACAAAUUGUACAAUACUUGAAUGUAAGACACAAGUCUUUACACUGUUCAUGGUAACAUUGGUUAUCAUAAAGUAUGGAAAUGUUACAGUUGCUUUAAAAAUCACAUGUUCUUAGAGUAUGAACAAUUUAAUGAACAAACAAUUGCAGUAACAUAUUUACAUUAAGUAUAUCAAUAACACACUUUGUUUAUAUUACUUACAUUUUUUAUGAAAUAUUGUUGGUAAGUCACAUACAUGUAUGUAUUUUCAGUCGUAAAGAAAAUGUUUAGUGUUAAUAUAGGUAAUAUUGAAAUAUACACUUAGUGUACAAAACAUGACAUAGACUAACCAGUUAAAUCCAGGUGAAAGCUAUGAUCCCUUAUUGAUUUUACUUGUUAAAUCCACUUCAGUCAGUGUAGGUGAAGGGGAGGAGACAGGUUAAAGAAGGAUUUUUAAACCGGGAGACAAUUGAGACAUGGAUUGGGUGAAUGGGCAAACAAAAGCUUUAAGUGCUUUGAAGGGGUUAUGGGUUGUAGGUGCCAGGUGCACCGGUUUGAGUGUGUCAAGAACUGCAAAGCUGUUGGGUUUUUCAUGCUCAACAGUUUCCUGUGUGUAUCAAGGUCCACCACCUGUCGGAAGCAUUGGAGUCAACAUGGGUCAGCAUCCCUGUGGAAUGUUUUCGACACCUGUAGAGUCCAUGCCCUAACAAAUUUAGGAUGUUCUGAGGGAAAAGGGGGGGUAUUGGGUAGGUGUUCCUAAUGUUUGUACACUCAGUGUAUAUGCUUUUCAUAUAUUCUAUACACUCCAUAUUUUGAAUCAAAUGUUUUUAAUGGAUGUACGUACUGUACGGAGAUAUUUUAGUAGUUUAGUAAUCACUUCCUAGUAUAAAUUGGCUUCAUCCUCUUGCCAUAACAUUUGUAAGCUGUGUUGGCAUCAUUCUACGUAGCACCACAGGUGAGAAGAUUAAGGACACCAAGUCUGGAUCAGAGAAGAAGUAGGGUUUUAGUGGAAUACCCACAGAACCUUUUCAGCUCAUUUAUCAUCUGAUUUUCUUAACAAAAGGCAUAUAUCCAUAGGUGGUCCAGGUGUCCUCCGACAUGGCACAAAUGUUCUCUAUUGCUCCUCCAUUUUUCCCUAAUCAAGGUGGGACGCCGAUGACAUCAGAGGGCAACAUGAAAAAAUUAUUUUGCUCAAAACAUAUUUUUUUACUCUUAAAGCCGAGCUCCGCACUUGUAGAAACAGCGCCACUGCCAGGGGUAGAAAAGUUACAGUCAUACUUGAGUAAAAGUAAAGAUACCAUCAUAGAAAAUGACUCAAGUAAAAGUGAAAGUCACCCAGUAAAAUACUACUUGAGUAAAAGUCUAAAAGUAUUUGGUUUUAAAUAUACUUAAGUAUCAAAAGUAAAUGGAAUUGCUCAAAUGUACUCAAGUAUCAAAAGUAAAAGUAUAAACCAGACACAA